Molecule: ribosomal RNA, 460 nt
Filed under: uncultured bacterium
Lineage: Bacteria
Description: partial 16S ribosomal RNA
Rfam family: Bacterial small subunit ribosomal RNA
Source: RNAcentral
CCUACGGGUGGCAGCAGUGAGGAAUAUUGGUCAAUGGACGAGAGUCUGAACCAGCCAAGUAGCGUGAAGGAUGACUGCCCUAUGGGUUGUAAACUUCUUUUAUAUGGGAAUAAAAUGUUCCACGUGUGGGCUUUUGUAUGUACCAUAUGAAUAAGGAUCGGCUAACUCCGUGCCAGCAGCCGCGGUAAUACGGAGGAUCCGAGCGUUAUCCGGAUUUAUUGGGUUUAAAGGGAGCGUAGGUGGAUUGUUAAGUCAGUUGUGAAAGUUUGGGGCUCAACCGUAAAAUUGCAGUUGAAACUGGCAGUCUUGAGUAGAGUAGAGGUGGGCGGAAUGCGUGGUGUAGCGGUGAAAUGCUUAGAUAUCACGAAGAACUCCGAUUGCGAAGGCAGCUCACUGGACUGCAACUGACACUGAGGCUCGAAAGUGUGGGUAUCAAACAGGAUUAGAUACCCUUGUAGUC